CAAAAACUGCCACCGGGUAGGGAUGCUAUAAGCAUUCAUGUGGACAUCGUUAGGUCAUAGAAGAUGUACAUAUGGAUGCUUGUUUUUU
RNAcentral lists this non-coding RNA (88 nucleotides) under unclassified sequences. The record is from RNAcentral.